RNAcentral lists this ribosomal RNA (479 nucleotides) under uncultured bacterium. Its description in RNAcentral is "partial 16S ribosomal RNA". It matches the Rfam family "Bacterial small subunit ribosomal RNA", at positions 28 to 507 of the family's 1533-position model. The record is from RNAcentral.
GACGAACGCUGGCGGCGUGCUUAACACAUGCAAGUCGAACGAAGCUUGAUUACGGAUUCUUCGGAUGAAGUAUGAUAUGACUGAGUGGCGGACGGGUGAGUAACGCGUGAGUAACCUGCCCUUCAGAGGGGGAUAGCGUUUGGAAACGAACGGUAAUACCGCAUAAUGUAUUUUGACCGCAUGAUCGAAAUACCAAAGAUUUAUCGCUGAAGGAUGGACUCGCGUCUGAUUAGGUAGUUGGGGGGGUAACGGCCUACCAAGCCGACGAUCAGUAGCCGGACUGAGAGGUUGAUCGGCCACAUUGGGACUGAGACACGGCCCAGACUCCUACGGGAGGCAGCAGUGGGGAAUAUUGCACAAUGGGCGCAAGCCUGAUGCAGCAACGCCGCGUGAAGGAAGACGGUUUUCGGAUUGUAAACUUCUGUUCUUAGUGAAGAAUAAUGACGGUAGCUAAGGAGCAAGCCACGGCUAACUACGUG